RNAcentral lists this microRNA precursor (415 nucleotides) under Medicago truncatula (barrel medic). RNAcentral describes it as "miR2588b stem-loop (mtr-MIR2588b)". The record is from miRBase by way of RNAcentral. Lineage: Eukaryota; Viridiplantae; Streptophyta; Magnoliopsida; Fabales; Fabaceae.
AGAUAAGUCCUUUAACUUUGUAACACUGUGCAACUAAGUCCUUCCGUUAACAAAAUAUUUAUUUUCUUAAAACAAAACACUUAACACAUUACAUUAAUGUUACACUCAACAAUGUUUCAUCGUCUAACAUGAUUGCACGCUUAAAUUAAACUAAAAAAAACAACAUGUUACAAGGAUUAUUCACUUUACUUGAUUAAAUAUCAAGCUUAUUGUUGCAAUAACAUAAGUUAAAGCCAACAACAUGCAAGUUACAUUAGCAAUCUUCAAAAAUAAUCAUAACAUUUUCCAAUUAAUAACAUGUUUUUGCCUUUUGCAUGCCACAUCACAGACUUCACAGCCACGUCAGCGUUUUUUUGACGGUGAGUUAACGGAAGGACUUAGUUGUAUACUGUUACAAAGUUAAAGGACCUAUCUG